GCCCCCGUAGCUCAAAAGGACAGAGCAUCGGAUUUCUAAUCCGAGGGUUACAGGUUCGAUUCCUGUCGGGGGCA
Molecule: transfer RNA, 74 nt
Filed under: bacterium
Lineage: Bacteria
Also listed under: 1 other name
Description: tRNA-Arg
Rfam family: tRNA
About the family: Transfer RNA (tRNA) molecules are approximately 80 nucleotides in length. Their secondary structure includes four short double-helical elements and three loops (D, anti-codon, and T loops). Further hydrogen bonds mediate the characteristic L-shaped molecular structure. tRNAs have two regions of fundamental functional importance: the anti-codon, which is responsible for specific mRNA codon recognition, and the 3' end, to which the tRNAs corresponding amino acid is attached (by aminoacyl-tRNA synthetases). tRNAs cope with the degeneracy of the genetic code in two manners: having more than one tRNA (with a specific anti-codon) for a particular amino acid; and 'wobble' base-pairing, i.e. permitting non-standard base-pairing at the 3rd anti-codon position.
Source: RNAcentral